AGUGAACGCUGGCGGUAGGCCUAACACAUGCAAGUCGAACGGCAGCACAGUAAGAGCUUGCUCUUACGGGUGGCGAGUGGCGGACGGGUGAGGAAUACAUCGGAAUCUACUUUUUCGUGGGGGAUAACGUAGGGAAACUUACGCUAUACCGCAUACGACCUACGGGUGAAAGCAGGGGAUCUUCGGACCUUGCGCGAUUGAAUGAGCCGAUGUCGGAUUAGCUAGUUGGCGGGGUAAAGGCCCACCAAGGCGACGAUCCGUAGCUGGUCUGAGAGGAUGAUCAGCCACACUGGAACUGAGACACGGUCCAGACUCCUACGGGAGGCAGCAGUGGGGAAUAUUGGACGAUGGGCGCAAGCCUGAUCCAGCCAUACCGCGUGGGUGAAGAAGGCCUUCGGGUUGUAAAGCCCUUUUGUUGGGAAAGAAAAGCAGCAGGUUAAUACCCCGCUGUUCUGACGGUACCCAAAGAAUAAGCACCGGCUAACUUCGUG
Molecule: ribosomal RNA, 491 nt
Filed under: uncultured bacterium
Lineage: Bacteria
Description: partial 16S ribosomal RNA
Rfam family: Bacterial small subunit ribosomal RNA
Source: RNAcentral